CCUGCUCGCGCGUCACACGCUGAGCUGUCGUUCAAUGCGUGGCUGCGAUCCCUUAUGUGGUGCGGCGGACGGACUGGAGACUGGGGACAGACGAGAGCAGAGGAACGGGGGCGGCGGCGCCGCCGCGCGGAGGAAACGAAAGGCUACCAAGCCGACGGCCUGGUUGCACGCGCCGCCGUGGCUCGUGGGGAUCCCCCGGUCGUCGAUUCGACCAAUGGGACUAGCAGCUAGCUAGGAAUAUUUUCUCAAGCUCUACUCUUGGGGCUGCAUCAGUCUUCCUGAUGUCAGGCACUGUGAUGGGCAGUGCCGAUCCUCCAUCCGCAUGUGAGGGCACCUACCUGCUGUUCCAUGGCGAGACCCUGCUCUCCAGUGGCGUCCGCGCCUCCCUCUACACCGUUGCUCUUGCAUACUGCUUCAUUGGGCUAUCCGCGAUCACUGCUCGGUUCUUCGAAUCCAUGGAGCAGAUCAUGAAACACUCCCGGGAGGUGGUCACCAUAGACCCGCACACGAACGCCCCUGUUGUCAAGCAAGAGAAGGUGUGGAACUACACGAUAGCGGACAUUGCCCUCCUUGCCUUCGGCACCAGCUUUCCACAGAUAUCCUUGGCUACAAUCGACGCAAUCCGUAAUCUUGGCCAGCUGAUCUAGGUCCGGGCACUCUCGUGGGUUCUGCUGCAUUUGAUAUGUUCCCAAUCCAUGCUGUCUGUGUGGUUAUGCCAAAGGCGGGCUCUAAGAAAAAGAUCACAGACUUGGGCGUUUGGCUAGUUGAGCUGUUCUGGUCUUUCUGGGCAUACAUUUGGCUGUAUGUUAUCUUAGAGGUAAAGGUCAAGCGAAAAGUUCAUGCCGAUGUACUAGGGCUGUGAAUGUACUAAGGCUAUGAAGGGUGAACACGAGUAGGUUUGAAUCAAGGGACGUGAGGAAUCCGAAUGGAGUCAUGAGCGAUCCACAUGUUGCACGGAAGAGCAAGAGUAUAUGGACGGGAUGGAGAAGGCAUCGGCCGAGUCAAGCGCGAUGGAGGCAAGUCGAGUAGGUGGCCUGGGAGCGGGAGCGAAAGACUUGGAGGCAUCAAAGGCUUGGCGGAGGCCGGACACACACCGACAUUGGUGAGUCACGCCUUGCGGGGUGUGCAAGAGGGUUUGACCGGUUUGACCUCAAAACCGGGGGGCAAGCCUGGCCGACCGGACGGCGUCAAGUUGAAGGAUGGGUGGCACCAUCACGAAUGUUGCGUCGAGGUGAAGCGAAGUCGUGAAGGCGUUAGGUCCGUUCGAUGUACCGACAAAAAGUUAGACGGUUUUACCCAUAUGAAGUAUUUGUGUUGUAUGUUUUAUGUAAUACUCCCUCCGUUCCAAAUUAUAAGUCAUUCCAACUUUCUUGGAGAGUUAAAGCA
This is a long non-coding RNA of Setaria italica (foxtail millet), 1386 nucleotides long. RefSeq lists it as uncharacterized. The record is from RefSeq and is a predicted model, not a curated record. Lineage: Eukaryota; Viridiplantae; Streptophyta; Magnoliopsida; Poales; Poaceae. The transcript is spliced from 3 exons.